This 408-nucleotide ribosomal RNA is filed under the name Glyphis cicatricosa. RNAcentral describes it as "SSU rRNA". It matches the Rfam family "Bacterial small subunit ribosomal RNA", at positions 359 to 760 of the family's 1533-position model. Lineage: Eukaryota; Fungi; Ascomycota; Lecanoromycetes; Ostropales; Graphidaceae. The record is from RNAcentral.
UAUUGGUCAAUAGCCUAAGCGGCUGAACCAGCAACUUGGAGGAAUGUAUAGGGAAAGCCGGUAAAAAGGCAAAGUACCUAAUAGUAUUAGUAAUAAAUAUGAAAUUAACUUAGUUAAUUAAAAUUCUAAGUAGAUAUGUGAUUAUGACAAUAUUUACUGAUUUCUUGACAAAGUCACGUGCCAGCAGUCGCGGUAAUACGUGGUAGAUCAGUGUUAUUCAUCUUUAAUAGGUUUAAAGGGUACCUAGACGGUUAAUUAAGCAUAUAAGUGUACUAAUUAUUAACUAGAGUUUAAUGUAAGAAGGUUUGAGUACGGUGAGUGUAGGGAUAAAAUCCUGUUAUACCACUUAGGAACUGGUAAAGGCGAAGGCAACCUUUUAUGUAAAAACUGACGUUGAAGGACGAAGGA